Molecule: ribosomal RNA, 871 nt
Filed under: uncultured Lactobacillus sp.
Lineage: Bacteria; Bacillati; Bacillota; Bacilli; Lactobacillales; Lactobacillaceae
Description: bacterial SSU rRNA
Rfam family: Bacterial small subunit ribosomal RNA
Source: RNAcentral
GAAAACUGGGAGACUUGAGUGCAGAAGAGGACAGUGGAACUCCAUGUGUAGCGGUGAAAUGCGUAGAUAUAUGGAAGAACACCAGUGGCGAAGGCGGCUGUCUAGUCUGUAACUGACGCUGAGGCUCGAAAGCAUGGGUAGCGAACAGGAUUAGAUACCCUGGUAGUCCAUGCCGUAAACGAUGAGUGCUAAGUGUUGGAGGGUUUCCCCCUUCAGUGCUGCAGCUAACGCAUUAAGCACUCCGCCUGGGGAGUACGACCGCAAGGUUGAAACUCAAAGGAAUUGACGGGGGCCCGCACAGGCGGUGGAGCAUGUGGUUUAAUUCGAAGCUACGCGAAGAACCUUACCAGGUCUUGACAUCUUCUGCCAAUCUUAGAGAUAAGACGUUCCCUUCGGGGACAGAAUGACGGGUGGUGCAUGGUUGUCGUCAGCUCGUGUCGUGAGAUGUUGGGUUAAGUCCCGCAACGAGCGCAACCCUUAUUAUCAGUUGCCAGCAUUCAGUUGGGCACUCUGGUGAGACUGCCGGUGACAAACCGGAGGAAGGUGGGGAUGACGUCAAAUCAUCAUGCCCCUUAUGACCUGGGCUACACACGUGCUACAAUGGACGGUACAACGAGUCGCGAAGUCGUGAGGCUAAGCUAAUCUCUUAAAGCCGUUCUCAGUUCGGAUUGUAGGCUGCAACUCGCCUACAUGAAGUUGGAAUCGCUAGUAAUCGCGGAUCAGCAUGCCGCGGUGAAUACGUUCCCGGGCCUUGUACACACCGCCCGUCACACCAUGAGAGUUUGUAACACCCAAAGCCGGUGAGAUAACCUUCGGGAGUCAGCCGUCUAAGGUGGGACAGAUGAUUAGGGUGAAGUCGUAACAAGGUACC